GACGAACGCUAGCGGCGUGCCUAAGGUAUGCAAGUCGAACGGAGAGCUUCGGCUCUCAGUGGCGAACGGUCGAGUAACACGUAGACAACCUGCCCUUUAGUGGGGGAUAACAGCGGGAAACUGCUGCUAAUACCGCAUGUGGCCUGGAGGAGCAUUCCUUCAACGCCAAAGGAUUUAUUCGCUAAAGGAUGGGUCUGCGGCCUAUCAGCUAGCUGGUGAGGUAACGGCNCACCAGGGCGACGACGGGUAGCGGGUCUGAGAGGAUGAUCCGCCGGAUGGGGACUGAGACACCGGCCCCAACUCC
This 304-nucleotide ribosomal RNA is filed under the name uncultured bacterium. RNAcentral's name for it is "bacterial SSU rRNA". It matches the Rfam family "Bacterial small subunit ribosomal RNA", at positions 28 to 339 of the family's 1533-position model. The record is from RNAcentral.